Non-coding RNA from Cricetulus griseus (Chinese hamster), 910 nucleotides. The record is from RefSeq and is a predicted model, not a curated record. Lineage: Eukaryota; Metazoa; Chordata; Mammalia; Rodentia; Cricetidae.
UUGCAGAUGGACAAUCUGAGGCUGAGAGGGGGCUAGUGAUUUCUCGGACACUUGGGCAGUAGAGAACACACGGCCCUGUCCUCAAGGAUCCGAUGGCCUUGGAGAGGGGGCUACACGGCCUGUGGACACAAACUCUUCCCAAAGUGCUGACAUGGAGCCAGGUAGACUGAAAUUACCAUGUGUCCAAAUUAAAAUUGCCUACUUCAAGGAUUAUUUGAAGGACUAUUCUUAGACCCUUUUAAGAAGAUUUUUUUAAAAGUGAGUCAAUUUUUUUUCCACUUCAGAGUAUUCAUGACUUAAGUUAAUGUCACAGGUGCCCCCUCCUACCCUGCCUCUUAAAUAUGCACUAAUAGGUAACUUCAUCUCCAUUUAUUUUAUAGUAAAGGUUUCCCCCCCCCUAAGAACAAUGAGCAGGGAAUAUGUGUUUAUUGCUAUACUGAUUCGCAUAUAUUUCAUAGCCUUAUAGAAUUUCAGAGAUGAAAGGGUGUUAAAAGUGUGGAGUCUUUCUCACUGUCUGUCAGAGAUUCCCAUGAACCUCUGGGAUCCUGGAAAGAUCCCAGGAACUACUGGGGAAGCUGGUGUCUGUUCAUAUCCAGGCCUUUUAGAGAAUUCUCUUACCUGUCAAAAUUGGAAAUCUGUGCCUCCUCCUCCUUCCAUCUUGCCAAACCUUCCUGGCUAGACAAUCCUAACCAUGGCUGUGCACCAAGAGCACAUACCCUUCCCCAAGAUCAUUUAUUUAAAUCCCCUGUUCCUCUAAUAAUUCCACAUAGUUUCAUUUCCAGGACAACUCCUGCUCAGUUCUUCGUACCAACUCAGCAAAUGUCACCUUAAAAAUGGAGCCAGCCUCUAUAGAACACAGACUUUAGGGCACUGUGGGCACUGCUGGUGGGAGGGCCAGUGCAGAGGCAAG